RNAcentral lists this microRNA precursor (103 nucleotides) under Marmota monax (woodchuck). The record is from RNAcentral. Lineage: Eukaryota; Metazoa; Chordata; Mammalia; Rodentia; Sciuridae.
AGUGGAAUAGCUGGGUCAAAUGGAGGUUCCAUUCCAAGUUUUGUGAGUUAUCUCCAUACCACUUUCCAUAAUGGUUGCACCAAUCUGUAGUCCCACCAGCAAU